GUUUAUAUAGUUUAUUAAAACACUUUAUUUUCAAUAAAGAAAUGAAUAAAACCAAAUUCUAUAAAUA
RNAcentral lists this transfer RNA (67 nucleotides) under Embiophila sp. RNAcentral's name for it is "tRNA-Glu". The record is from RNAcentral. Lineage: Eukaryota; Metazoa; Arthropoda; Insecta; Hemiptera; Plokiophilidae.